CCUGCAUUGUACACACUGUGCAAAUCAAUUCUGGAAGCACAGCGCAUACAAUGUGGAUG
RNAcentral lists this microRNA precursor (59 nucleotides) under Tetraodon nigroviridis (spotted green pufferfish). Its description in RNAcentral is "Tni-Mir-460-P1_pre stem-loop". It matches the Rfam family "mir-460 microRNA precursor family", at positions 11 to 77 of the family's 77-position model. The record is from RNAcentral. Lineage: Eukaryota; Metazoa; Chordata; Actinopteri; Tetraodontiformes; Tetraodontidae.